GGGGCCGGGGCCGCCGCCGCUCUCGUCAGGCUCCGUCCCGUCCCGCCCGCCGCCAUGCGCCACAGCCUCACCCAGCUGCUGGCCGCCUCCUCCGGCGGAGCGAGCCCCUCCGGCGCCGUCUGGCCCCUGGCCGGUGCGGGGCAGGCCCCGAGAGGGCGGGAUGGUGGCGGGGAAGGGGACCCGGGCCCCGCGCGGCCCAAACAACAACAGCCGGCGCGGAGGGAGGAGAAGGAGCCCGAGGCACCCGGAGGGCCGCUGGAGGUGUGGGAACAAGAGGACUGGUUUCCGGGCUUGGAGCUGGGAGACCUGCUGGAGGCCGCACGGCCGGACUGGGACCUGGACGCGGAGCUGAGCGGCUGCUUCUGUGGGGAACCGGAGCCGCUGCCCCCGCCAGGCCCGGGCCAGCGGCCGGCGGCGGUCGGGCGGAGGAAUGGCGGGGCUGGGAGCCGGCUGAAGGCGGCGGCGGCGGCGCGGCUGAACCGGCUGAAGAAGAAGCAAUACGUGCUUGGGCUGGAGAGCCGCCUUCAAGGCCUGGCUGCUGAGAACCGGCAGCUGCGGGACCGCAACCGCGGCCUGAGCCGCCGCCUGCGAGAGCUGGAGAGGGAGAGCAGCUACCUGCGGGCCGUGCUGGCUAACCAGAGCGCCCUGGGGCAGCUCCUGAGCCGCUUAGCCGGGAUCCGUGCCGGCGGGCUGCAGCUCAGCACCAGCCUCUUCAGGGACACGGGCAGCCCGCGCCGCCAUCACCACCACCUCCAGCCUGCCGGCGAGAGCAGCGACCACGACUACGCCCUGCCCAGCUCCCGGCCUGCCAGCCUGGAGGAGUCGGCGGUGGUAACGGAGACGGAGGAGGAGUGGGCAUCCCCCGGCGGGAUAUGCCUCCACGUGGACCGGGAUCAGGUGUCGGUGGAGUUCUGCUCCAUCUGUGCUCGACGGGCAGCGGCCUCCUUCAAAAUGUAGGGUCAAGUACCUGCUGCAAGUACUCGUGGGGUGCUCCCCCCUAAUAGGGGCCUCGCGUCGCGGCGGAGGAAGCAGGCGAUGUUUCUCUUUUAGGUGCUUGCCCUGCCAGGCUCCGUUGUGUAGGGGUUAAAGAACAGUCGUUUUCCACCUCGCAACCUGUGGAUUCAGCUGUGUUGGGGCAGAAGAGACGGGACCAGCUGCUGGCCACAUUUCCUGCUUUAUUUUAAAAGGUAGUAUAAGAAAUGAGAAUAAAGAGGUAACAGGGCUUUUGCUGUCUUUGGUUAAACAAAAACAAACAAGGUUGAAUGCUGGGAUCAGUUACUGCCAUCCAAGAUGUUUUCUGUAAAAGCCAAUAUGCUAUCAAACAGGUUUUACCCCACUGUGUGCAGAAUUCCAUCUGGUCAGUGUGUACUGCCAGCACAAAAGAGACUUAGUGAGAUACAUGUUCCCUUAUACCUCAGUGGUGGCAUCAGUGGGACUGUCCAAUCAGUCCUGAAUUGUAUAAUCCUGUUGUAAUGGAUGGGUUACACCAGUGCCACAAGAAUCGUAGUUACCCACCGAAACCUGAACUGACUGAUAGACAGAAGGGAAAUAAUGGAGGUGGAUUCAACCUGGGCUCAGUCUGCCAAGCUCAAGCUUCAGGAACAUGCCUGGUUCUGAAGUUUAACAUGCUUGAUGAAAAGAGAAACGCUCAUGUAGCAAGUAUGGGAUGUUCCAGUGGCAUUUUUACAGUUACUUCAGCCAAGUAGUGGCAUUUAACUGAAAUAUGCAUUCUUUCUACAUCGCUGCUAAGUGGUAGGGGUCAGGGCCAUAGUUCUGGUCUCUGUUGUGAACCUGCACGUGGCUCACAGAUACUACACGUGCUGUGUCUGAGAGUAUCUGAUGUUCUGACAUGCAAAAUGGUGUUUACUGGUACAAGAGCAAGGGCAAGUGCCCAGGAAGUGAGUGGCUGCAGGCAUUUCUAGUGCCUACUGAAUCAUAUUUAAACCAAAUAGAGGGGAGGAAGUUAUUUGAAACUCUUAACCAACUGUACUAUCUGUAUGGUGUGUUAUUAAUGUAGCUUUUUGAAGUGAAAGCCUUGAAAUGACAUAACUUAAUACUUGAAAAAUAUAUUGUAAAUGUUUCUUUGUAAUUAUGUGCCAUCCAGAUAAGAAUACAAGCUCAUAAUAAAAUCAGACUUGUUGAUCUUUAAACGUA
Melopsittacus undulatus (budgerigar) is the source of this 2154-nucleotide RNA transcript. It is a transcript of the gene named CREB/ATF bZIP transcription factor, with no coding region annotated. Lineage: Eukaryota; Metazoa; Chordata; Aves; Psittaciformes; Psittaculidae. The record is from RefSeq and is a predicted model, not a curated record. The transcript is spliced from 3 exons.